AUAUUUGUGAUUUUAAAUAAAAAUAUAUUUAAUGUAAGUAUUUUGAACGAAAAUAUUCGCAAAAUAGGUAUUUUGACCCAUUUUUCUCUUACACCUCUAAAUGGUUUAAUAAUUUGUUGCUAGUUCACUUCAGUCCAAUUACUCCAACCAUUUUGUGCCACAUUUGAUAAGGAGGUAAAAUGAUCUAAAUUAGCCGAAUUGUGGGUGUUUUUAUCUAAAACCAUAAACGUAUCCUUAAUUGAUAUUUUAUGUCAAAUUAAGGGGGCAAAAUGAACCUCUAUUGGAUGUUUUAUGGCAAGUUGAGGGGGUGAAUUGGUCCUUUAUUAAAAUGAAAUUAUUGGGUAAGUAGUCGGCGAGUCGCUGAUAAAAACAUAAUUGCAAUCCGUUGUCGCCCUCAUCGAGGUGGAUCGUGAAGAUGACGAGAGGGAAACAAAAGAUCGAAGCCCAAAAAAAGAACGCGGAGAAGAACCAGAAGGCCAAAGGGUCUCAAUUCGAUGCUCGAGCUGUUGCUCUCAAAGUCAUCUGUGCCAUCUGCAAGGCGCAGCUAGCAAAUCAUAAUCAGCUUGGUGAUCAUUAUGCCGCCAAACAUCCAAAAGAAAAGCCUCCGACAGAGUCGAGUUGAUAUGUUUGUCUCUUGUAAAAAUGGAAAAGAUUGAGAAAAAAAUGAAAGAAAAUCUUGCCUUGUGUACUCAAUACUGAUUAAUGUAUGUGAACUGAUGAAGGUGAUGAUGGAUUACCUAUUUUCAGUAUCUUAA
Long non-coding RNA from Mercurialis annua (annual mercury), 755 nucleotides. RefSeq lists it as uncharacterized. Lineage: Eukaryota; Viridiplantae; Streptophyta; Magnoliopsida; Malpighiales; Euphorbiaceae. The transcript is spliced from 2 exons. The record is from RefSeq and is a predicted model, not a curated record.